Molecule: ribosomal RNA, 699 nt
Filed under: uncultured actinomycete
Lineage: Bacteria; Bacillati; Actinomycetota; Actinomycetes; Actinomycetales
Description: bacterial SSU rRNA
Rfam family: Bacterial small subunit ribosomal RNA
Source: RNAcentral
GGAUGAGCCCGCGGCCUAUCAGCUUGUUGGUGGGGUGAUGGCCUACCAAGGCGACGACGGGUAGCCGGCCUGAGAGGGUGACCGGCCACACUGGGACUGAGAUACGGCCCAGACUCCUACGGGAGGCAGCAGUGGGGAAUAUUGCACAAUGGGCGCAAGCCUGAUGCAGCGACGCCGCGUGAGGGAUGACGGCCUUCGGGUUGUAAACCUCUUUCAGUGCCGACGAAGCGGAAGUGACGGUAGGCACAGAAGAAGGACCGGCCAACUACGUGCCAGCAGCCGCGGUAAUACGUAGGGUCCGAGCGUUGUCCGGAAUUACUGGGCGUAAAGAGCUCGUAGGUGGUUUGUCGCGUUGUCCGUGAAAACUCACAGCUUAACUGUGGGCGUGCGGGCGAUACGGGCAGACUAGAGUACUGCAGGGGAGACUGGAAUUCCUGGUGUAGCGGUGGAAUGCGCAGAUAUCAGGAGGAACACCGGUGGCGAAGGCGGGUCUCUGGGCAGUAACUGACGCUGAGGAGCGAAAGCGUGGGGAGCGAACAGGAUUAGAUACCCUGGUAGUCCACGCCGUAAACGGUGGGUACUAGGUGUGGGUUCUUUCCUGAGGAUCCGUGCCGUAGCUAACGCAUUAAGUACCCCGCCUGGGGAGUACGGCCGCAAGGCUAAAACUCAAAGGAAUUGACGGGGGCCCGCACAAGCGGC